RNAcentral lists this ribosomal RNA (1372 nucleotides) under uncultured bacterium. Its description in RNAcentral is "bacterial SSU rRNA". It matches the Rfam family "Bacterial small subunit ribosomal RNA", at positions 28 to 1381 of the family's 1533-position model. The record is from RNAcentral.
GAUGAACGCUGGCGGCGUGCCUAAUACAUGCAAGUCGAGCGAACGGACGAGAAGCUUGCUUCUCUGAUGUUAGCGGCGGACGGGUGAGUAACACGUGGAUAACCUACCUAUAAGACUGGGAUAACUUCGGGAAACCGUAGCUAAUACCGGAUAAUAUUUUGAACCGCAUGGUUCAAAAGUGAAAGACGGUCUUGCUGUCACUUAUAGAUGGAUCCGCGCUGCAUUAGCUAGUUGGUAAGGUAACGGCUUACCAAGGCAACGAUGCAUAGCCGACCUGAGAGGGUGAUCGGCCACACUGGAACUGAGACACGGUCCAGACUCCUACGGGAGGCAGCAGUAGGGAAUCUUCCGCAAUGGGCGAAAGCCUGACGGAGCAACGCCGCGUGAGUGAUGAAGGUCUUCGGAUCGUAAAACUCUGUUAUUAGGGAAGAACAUAUGUGUAAGUAACUGUGCACAUCUUGACGGUACCUAAUCAGAAAGCCACGGCUAACUACGUGCCAGCAGCCGCGGUAAUACGUAGGUGGCAAGCGUUAUCCGGAAUUAUUGGGCGUAAAGCGCGCGUAGGCGGUUUUUUAAGUCUGAUGUGAAAGCCCACGGCUCAACCGUGGAGGGUCAUUGGAAACUGGAAAACUUGAGUGCAGAAGAGGAAAGUGGAAUUCCAUGUGUAGCGGUGAAAUGCGCAGAGAUAUGGAGGAACACCAGUGGCGAAGGCGACUUUCUGGUCUGUAACUGACGCUGAUGUGCGAAAGCGUGGGGAUCAAACAGGAUUAGAUACCCUGGUAGUCCACGCCGUAAACGAUGAGUGCUAAGUGUUAGGGGGUUUCCGCCCCUUAGUGCUGCAGCUAACGCAUUAAGCACUCCGCCUGGGGAGUACGACCGCAAGGUUGAAACUCAAAGGAAUUGGCGGGGACCCGCACAAGCGGUGGAGCAUGUGGUUUAAUUCGAAGCAACGCGAAGAACCUUACCAAAUCUUGACAUCCUUUGACAACUCUAGAGAUAGAGCCUUCCCCUUCGGGGGACAAAGUGACAGGUGGUGCAUGGUUGUCGUCAGCUCGUGUCGUGAGAUGUUGGGUUAAGUCCCGCAACGAGCGCAACCCUUAAGCUUAGUUGCCAUCAUUAAGUUGGGCACUCUAAGUUGACUGCCGGUGACAAACCGGAGGAAGGUGGGGAUGACGUCAAAUCAUCAUGCCCCUUAUGAUUUGGGCUACACACGUGCUACAAUGGACAAUACAAAGGGCAGCGAAACCGCGAGGUCAAGCAAAUCCCAUAAAGUUGUUCUCAGUUCGGAUUGUAGUCUGCAACUCGACUACAUGAAGCUGGAAUCGCUAGUAAUCGUAGAUCAGCAUGCUACGGUGAAUACGUUCCCGGGUCU